AGCGGCGGACGGGUGAGUAACACGUGGGCAACCUGCCCUGUAGACUGGGAUAACUUCGGGAAACCGAAGCUAAUACCGGAUAAUCGUAGAAGUUGCAUAGCUUCUAUGUAAAAGUUGGGUUUACCUAACACUACAGGAUGGGCCCGCGUCGCAUUAGCUAGUUGGUAAGGUAACGGCUUACCAAGGCGACGAUGCGUAGCCGACCUGAGAGGGUGAUCGGCCACACUGGGACUGAGACACGGCCCAGACUCCUACGGGAGGCAGCAGUAGGGAAUCUUCCGCAAUGGACGAAAGUCUGACGGAGCAACGCCGCGUGAGCGAUGAAGGCCUUCGGGUCGUAAAGCUCUGUUGUUAGGGAAGAACAAGUGCUAUUCGAAUAGGGUGGCACCUUGACGGUACCUAACGAGAAAGCCACGGCUAACUACGUGCCAGCAGCCGCGGUAAUACGUAGGUGGCAAGCGUUGUCCGGAAUUAUUGGGCGUAAAGCGCGC
RNAcentral lists this ribosomal RNA (491 nucleotides) under uncultured Anaerobacillus sp. Its description in RNAcentral is "bacterial SSU rRNA". It matches the Rfam family "Bacterial small subunit ribosomal RNA", at positions 94 to 570 of the family's 1533-position model. Lineage: Bacteria; Bacillati; Bacillota; Bacilli; Caryophanales; Bacillaceae. The record is from RNAcentral.